GAACUCAAUAGUGUGGAUGCCUCCAGCAUCCACACAAUAAUAAUAAAUCCGAGGAAUAGUAAUAUGUGUGCCUCUUGGCAUAGGCACACAUAAUAAUAAUAAAUCCGACGAAUAGUAAUAUGUGUGCCUCUUGGCAUAGGCACACAUAAUAAUAAUAAAUCCGACGAAUAGUAAUAUGUGUGCCUCUUGGCAUAGGCACACAUAAUAAUAAUAAUAAUAAUAAUAAUAAUAAAUCCGACGAAUAGUAAUAUGUGUGCCUCUUGGCAUAGGCACACAUAAUAAUAAUAAUAAUAAAUCCGACGAAUAGUAAUAUGUGUGCCUCUUGGCAUAGGCACACAUAAUUUUGACCCUAUUUUUCUUCCUUUAAGCUGAUUGGUCAAUGUCAUGUCAAUCACAAAUUAAACAAUCCAAUCAGAGAACAGAUGGGUUUGGCUGUGGGGGGGUUGCUUUACGGACCUUCAGGUCCUGGAAGGGUAACACAGUUUGAAGAUGGAGGACGGCGGUGGCGCUUCUGCGGCGCAGGUGACUGUAAAUCAAGUGGACCUUGGUCUAUCUCCCUCCAGAACAGAGAACCUGGGAUGUACCUGUGACUCUUUGGUGGCUUUAGGAAGACAUGUUUUCCAAAACCUUCAAAAUAGGCUGGUGCAGUCCUACCAACAGCAGCCCUUGGACCUUGAUCAUAUUGAGUUCCUCUGCGUGAACGCAUCAACUCUAGUCUGUUCUCUUUCUGCUCAUAUUAAUGUUCCAUCACUGGUAGUUGAAGCUCUUCACCACCUCAUCUGCCUCAUCCAUUCCAAUAUGGAUGCAAGAAGGUCUGCCAUUGUUGUUGACAGCUCAGCUGGUGAACGGGGGAGGGCAAAGCUCUAUGUUUCCAAAGACCACCUCAAAGAUCUAAUACAGAUGGACCUCUCCAUUCCUUGUAUCUCCAAGCUUUUGGGCAUAUCGCAGAAAACAGUCCGACGAAGAAUGGAAGAGUGGGGCCUCUCAAUAACGGCAACCUACAGCUCACUAUCAGAUGAUGAACUUGACAACUUAAUUGCAGCCAUAAAACAGGAAUCGAAAGAUCUGGAUAUGGACUUGUGAUGUUUGGUGGUGUUGAUGGCUUCUCAAGGAAGGUUUGCAUUCUUCACUAAAAUAGCAGAAAAUGUGAUGCUAGUAAUAGUACUUCCAUAAUGUCUCUUUAUUUUCAGAUCUUGUACUUGAAAGCAGCUAAGAACAACAAGGCUUCUACAGCACUGACGUUCUUCCUUGAGGCUGUACAGAAGCAUGGAUUUCCAUCGAGGUAUAAUGCAAAAACUUGCUGUUCACAUUAGAUUAUAGAGGCUUAAAUCAGUCUCACUUCAAUUUUGAAUACACAUUCGUGCCUGACACACAUGCUUGCUGUCUGGAAAUGAUUGAAUUUUACCAUAAUUUGUAUUCUAUUUGCAGAGAAAUACUACAAUAAUAAUAAUAAUAAUAAUACUAAUAAUACGUUUUAUAACACCUUAAGGUUAUCUUACAAUAGCACAAGAACAAUAGCAACAAUUCAAUAUAUUGAAACAUUGCAAAUAAAAUUUAGACAUAAGUUAAAGAAGAAAAAAGCAAGCAUGACAGUAUAAAAGCUGAGCAAGUUAAAAUGGACUAAUACAGAAUCAGGUGUAUGCAAUUCUGAAUAGAUGGGUUUUGAGUAGUGACUUAAAAGUGGUGAAAGAGUUUGUGGUCCGGAGAUCUGGUGGAGGUACAUUCAAAGUCUUGGGGGAGAACAACUAAAGGCUCUGAGUCCCAUUGUAGUUAGGCAAGCAUGUGGAACAGACAGAAGGGAAGCUGAAGAAGAGCGAAGUGUAUGAGUGGGCGAGUACAAAUGUGGUACAAAUGUAGAAGAUCAGAUAGAUAUGGACGAAUAUGUCAAAUUAGUGUCAGCUGUUUCCCAUGUGUUUUCAUUUCCUCUAAUCACACUUGUGUGUAUUUAGUCUGUGUGUUUCUGUUCAUUCUUUGUCAUGUUGUCUGUUGUCGUUUGUGCCAUGUUUCCAUGUGUCUCUGCUUCUACGCUCCAGGUUUCAGGUAUCUUUGUAUCCACGGCGAGUUUCAUGUUUUGGUUUUUAUGUUUAUCUUUAGUCUGCCCAGUUUAGCUUCAUCUCUGCCUUUUCUUUUGUAUAGUUUUUACCAGCCUUAAGAAACGCCUUGCUUUCUGUUAACAUUCAAGUUUUGUUCCACAUUCCAUUUUUCUCUGCACUUGGGUCCACUAUUCAUACUUCACACAGUAAGCUGCUCAGCCAGACUGUGACAGAACAACCAUUUCACUGACUUUGCAAGUUAACAUUGCUAGUUGUGCAUUGUACUUUUGGGGAAAAUAUUUACAAAUAUAGCUCUGCAUAAGAGCUCAAAGAGCCCUAAAAAUAUUAUACAGUUGAAUGUAAAACAUUCACAUUUUUCUUUAAAUUAUUAACUUUUAAAUAUUGCUAAAAUGUGACACUCUGUAAUUUCUGUGUCCUUUGUUUUUCAUAUUUCUAGAGUGAGGGGAGACCAAGGAGUUGAGAAUGUUCACAUUGCUCGAUACAUGUUUGAAGUUCGGGGCUGUGGUAGAGGAAGCUUUAUGUCUGGCAAAAGCAUGCAUAACCAAAGGUAUUCCUAAUUUACAACAAAAACAUAUUUUUGAUUGCCAGGUGUAGUAUUCUGGCGUUAAUUAUUGAAUGUGUUAUUAACAAAAUUACGUUUAAAACUGAAUUACUGUGUUACUUCAAAUUAUAACAAGUUCCCAUAACAUUUUGUUUGCACAGAAUGCUUGGAAAUUAUUUCAUUUUAUGAGGAUGAAUGUCACUGUAUAGUGAUUUAAAAAAAAAUAAAUGUUUUUUUUGUUUUCUUUUGUUUUAAAGGAUAGAGCGCCUGUGGCGUGACGUUUGGAAUGUUGUCACCAACAUCUACUACGAUCUUCUUCACAGACUUGAGGAAGACAGACUCUUGGAUCCAACAAACUGUACUGACCUUUUUUGUGCACAGUAUGUGUUUUUGCCACGAAUCCAAGCAGAUUUGGAGACGUUUAUUGAAGGCUGGAACAAUCACUCUCUUAGGACAGAGCGGAACUACACCCCAAACCAACUAUGGGAGAUUGGAAAGACUCAGAAUCCAGUCAAUCCUCCUGAAAGUAUUGUGGUAUGAUUACACAUCUCUAAAUUCUUCAAAUCGCUUUUUUGAAAAAAAAAAAAAUAUGUAUAUCAUUGACAAAAUUAAUAAAGCAUGUAUUUUAAAGACUUCCUGAAUUGAUGGGGUCUAAUUUCAGGCAGAGUAUCCAGAUGUGGACAUUGCAGACUUGGACCAAACUGGUAUUCACCUUCCAGAACUUGUGUCUCCACUUGACAGUGAGGAUUUGGAAAGAGUGAGACACCUUUUCAAUCCCAUGGAACCCUCUAUGUCCUAUGGGGCUAACAUUUACAGUUCCCUUGUCCAGUAUGUGGAAGGCAUUCUUGAGAACAGGCAGGAUUUAUAGCUUUAUCUAGAGUGAUGGUUGAAAAUAAGAUGCCCUAACAGAUGUUUACAUUAUGUUGAAUUAUCAGUUUUUGUAUCCAAGGACAGUUACUAAAAGUCUGCAUCAAUAUUUAUUUUCAGUUUUUAAUGUUAAUACAUUUUGUGUUAGAUGAGUUUACAGUUAUAUUUUCCUGAUAAUCUGUCAGUUAAUGCAAAGGUAACAUGAUAAAUGCUUUCUGUUCUCAUGUAAGUCCUUUGUUUAAUAAUAGCUUCAAUAAAAUUUUGUUUAGGUGCCAUCAUGCCUAUUCUUGCUGAUUUCUAUUUUUAUUUAAUUGUAAAGGCAAUAUUCAAUGAAUCAACUUUAUUUACAGUCUGACAAGAAUUUUUUUCUUAACUUUGAUGGAGUGGCGACCAGUCUAGAAUGUAACUUGUCCUAUAACUGCUGCUCCAAAUCCAUGUCCUUGACAACUUCUGGAUUUUAAUUUGGGGUGUUCAAGCAUAUUUCCUUUGAUUUACAAAAUGAUUUCAAACAACCUCAAAAAUAAUCAGGAAAGUUAUCAUCCAAUUUUCAUAGCUCAAAACUUGACUUUAUUGAUAACAGCUUGAAAGUGACAAAAACCUCUCAUGACUGUAGAACUGUAAUGUUUUGAUGUGUGUUAGCUGUCCUGCAUGCAGUAAUUAAAUAGCUUGACCACAGCUGACAGUGUGGCAGAUUUUUAUUAUCAUUAUAUUCAACAGCAUUGGACUGUGUGUAACAUUUAAUACAGCUUUAGUAUUAAUCUACUUUUUUCACCUCUUGUAAUCCAUGAAACUGCUUCAAACAAAGAGAUGAUGUGAAUCGGAUGCAUGAUAAUGACUUUAAGUUAACAAAACAACCCUAAACACAAUCAUUAGUUCCUUAACUUCAAAUAUACACUGUUAGACUUUUCAUCUCCACUUUACGGUAACAUACUGGCGUCACUGUUGCCAGCGUCAUACCGUGACGCCGUAUUACUGUAGCUUACCGUUGUGCAGGAUGAUACCGUUUUUUGCUGUUGUGGUAUAAUACUCUUGGACAAAUUAUGGUAACGCACUGUAGCUUUUUUUAUGUCGUUAUGUCGUAAAUUACGUCAACAAAGUAACAUCAUACUGUGAUUAAGAAAUUGGUAUACUACCGUUUAUUCACGGUAUGUCACUGUAAGCCCGCUACAAGGUAAUAAACUGCAAUAUAUUUACCAUUAACUUACCGUUAUCACGCAUCAUCAGUACCAAAAAUAUUAAUCUCUGCUAGAGGAUACCGUGUUCCUACAGGCGGUCAUUUACUGUUUAAC
Oreochromis niloticus (Nile tilapia) is the source of this 4751-nucleotide long non-coding RNA. The record is from Ensembl. Lineage: Eukaryota; Metazoa; Chordata; Actinopteri; Cichliformes; Cichlidae.